Molecule: long non-coding RNA, 3005 nt
Filed under: Sus scrofa (pig)
Lineage: Eukaryota; Metazoa; Chordata; Mammalia; Artiodactyla; Suidae
Description: lncRNA (ENSSSCG00015023199.1)
Source: RNAcentral
AUCUCUGCAUCUGUGUUGUAUGGUUUGGAAGGAGAGAAUCUGGAGCCAGACAGGGUACUAGUGAAUAUUCUGUAGAGCCCACCUUGACCAGAUGGGGACCCAUUUCCAAGGCAUUCACUCUCUGGCUAGUAAGAAAGCUCCAGAAGGAAGGAAGUCCAAUUCAACUGCCAUCUGGUUGUUAGGGGCACAGCUGCCAUUCUCUCCUCAUCUGUGUUCUCUUGGAAAAGGCCCAGUGCAGAGAUGGCAGAGCUAGACAAGGAAACAUGAAGGAGCACAAUCAUACCUUGUAAUUGUCUGACCCAGGCUAAAAAUCUCUAUCGAACAAUUAGGUGUGAAACAGCCCGCACUCCCAAUACCCUACCUAGACCAAAGCAAACUUAGAAGCAAACUCACCCUUUCCCAGGGGAUGGAUAUUAUGGAUAUUGCCACAAAUUUUUUUUUUUUGGUCUUCUUUUUAAGGCCACACACACUACAUAUGGAAGCUCCCAGGCUAGGGGUUGAAUCAGCUGUAGCUGCUGGUCUAUACCACAGCCACAGCAAUGAGGGAUCCGAGCCAGAUAGGAUUUGCAACCUACACCACAACUCACAGCAGCACUGGAUCCUUAACCCACUGAGCGAGGCCAGAGAUCGAACCUGUGGCCUCAUGGAUACUAAUCAAGUUCUUUACCACUGAGCCAUGACAGGAACUCUGCAAGAUUAUACUUUAUGACAUGUGCCUGGAGGAGACUACAAACGACAAUGGUGCUGGAAUCAAGGCUGCUCUCUAAAGCCAUCAAGGGCUACCUGAGUCUUACAUCUUUUUAUCCCUCAAGAGAAUGUUCUGAACAUUGUCCUGGAUUUGCUGAUCCACAAUUAACUGGCCACAGAUUCUAUGUUUCUUACUUGAAAUCCUUGAGACACUGUUGAUUGUUGGCCAGUGAGAGACAAAUGACCUUAAUACAUGUUUCCACCUCCUGCCCAAUCAGCUGUAGCCAAGGAGCACAAAAAAGAGCAGUUCUCAGAGGAUCCAACUACAGCCAGGCCAGGCCUGGCCUAUGACUCCUUUUAAAGUAGCUUUCUUAGUAGAAGUACUUCAACGUGAGUGACAGGCAGCUAUGGUUCUGUCUCUUGAGCUCUGCCAACAACCCUUCACACUUUUCAAGGAAAUAUCUUUACCUACAUCCACACUUUAAUAAAAAAAUGAGGAGUUCCUGUCAUGGUUCAGUGGUAAUGAACCCAACUAGUACCCAUGAGGAUGCAGGUUGAAUCCCUGGCCUAGCUCAGUAGGUUAAGGAUCUGGCAUUGCCAUAAGGUGCAGUGUAGGUCACAGAGGCAGCUAGGAUCCCCAACUGCUGUGGCCUGGUGUAGGCCGGAGGCUACAACUCCAAUUUGACCCCUAGCUUGGGAAUUUCCAUAUGCUGCAAGUGCAGCCCUAAAAAGAUAGAUGAAUAAAUAAAUAAAUAAAUAACUCAUUCCACUUCUUGGCCAAAGCUGAUUGGCAUCUGACCCAAUUAGAGUCCUUCCCCUGGAAUUUUGGAACUGGAAACAAGGAGAGGUCAGUCUCUUUUCACAAGCAUCCCCGUGAGGGCAUGGAAACUUGGGAUCCAUUGACAGUCACAGUUUGUCAUGCCAUCCAAGCACAGAAAAAGCCAGUCAGCAGUGACAAGAAAAUAUGAACCAUAAGUAGAGAGAAGUAGAGGCAAGGGGUUACAAAAGGGUCCUGAGUUUGUUCUGGCCCCUGGUUCCAGUUCUCAGGCACUCCUGCUGUCUUCUCCUUGGCUUCAGUGACCUACCAAGUAUCCUCAAAAUGAAUCCCCCUUAUACUAGUCUGAACUGGGUUUCUGUAAUUUGCAACCCAAAUGGACCUAAGACAAGUAUUAGAAUCUGCUAGUUCCCUAACCAGAUGCUUCACUGUUCAUGUUCUGCUACCAAGACCUCUCUUCUCAGAGCUCUUUGGGGUCGUGGGGAUACAUAGAAGACACAGCGUCCAACAUGGUUCACAGAACAAAAGGUAGGUGUCAAUUUCCUCACAAAGAAGCUUUGGAAUUUUCCAGCCAAGCCUAUAAGCUUGUUUCCAAUCCACUCCCAAAUGAAUCCACGAAACGAAAGAGGCAGGGUCUUUACCUUUCUUGAACUCUCAGAUUUCUGUCUCAGUCGCCUAAAAUAUACUACCUUAUACAAUCACAGCUAUUUCUAUUUGUAUUUUUAUCUUUCCAAGUAGAUGAUGCAUGUUGGGAGCUGAAUCUUGAGAGCCAAAUCUUUCUUUCCUCACACUAAGACAACUACUUUCGCAUAUUUGGUACUCAGGAAAUAUUUACCGUCUAACUGAAAUACCAAGUUUUGCAAGAAAGUCUGGUUGGUGUUGGAAAGCAGCCUUAGAGGAUUAGAAGAGGGAGCAGCAUCACAGGCCAGGUGGAAAGGGUUGUAAGGAAACCCUGGCCCAGAUCCGGGGAAUCCAGAGAAACGGGCAAUCUCAGGUGCUUUCCGGGCAAGACGGAUCAGCAGGAUUCAGCGGAGUCAGUGCAAUCCAGUCGUACCAAUCCCCCUAGGCGGGGUAAGCAGGGAAAGGAUGGCACAGCGACCUUCGGUCAGAAAGGCUAAGGGAAGAAAUGCGCCAUUUCAAUCGGCGGACAGCACUGGGGAGCGCGGCCCUGAGCACCGCAAAGCACAUCGAACACUCAGGAGGCCAGGCUACUGUGACCUCACUCCACCUCGCUGCCACACGUCUUGACCCUGAGCCGUGCUUUUACCCUGAGCUCGCCUGCCCAGGUCAGCCGGGGCAGCCGCGACCAAGGACAGUUCGAAAACAUCCAAUUUCAGUUCCACCUUCACGUCAUGGCGCGACGCAUCCGUCCCACCUCCCCGACCCUUCCUCAAACGUGUUGCAACCAGAGCCGCCUCUCCCACCACACCCAAUCCUAAAUCCUCACCUUGGGGGCCCCCUCCUCGCUGGAGCCUCUUAAGGCGCAAAAACAGCAAACCGCCUGCACAAAAUGCGCUCAGAAAACUACGAUUCCCAGAAGGGU